RNAcentral lists this ribosomal RNA (1228 nucleotides) under Klebsiella huaxiensis. Its description in RNAcentral is "partial 16S ribosomal RNA". Lineage: Bacteria; Pseudomonadati; Pseudomonadota; Gammaproteobacteria; Enterobacterales; Enterobacteriaceae. The record is from RNAcentral.
GCAGGGCCAUGGUUYUGAAGACGCACUGCUCCAGUACAGCACUGGAAUUGACUACACGGUCMUCAGACUKCUACCGGCAGGUAGACAGUGGGGGAAUAUUGCAUCAAUGUGCGCAAGCCGUGACUGCAGCCAUGCAAGUGAUGUAUGAAYGAYGGCCUKUCGGGUGUUAUAGYACUWUCAGUCGAGGAGGAARGGCGUUAARRSWUCAUAAGCAKCRGCKGAUUGWCAGUURCUCGCARARGMAGCACAGGAUAUCUCCGWGCCAGCAGSCAKSKCUAAAUAGAGAGGAGUGCUAKCGUUGAUCGGAAUUUACUGRGCGUAAAGCKCACGCAGGCGGUCUGUCAAGUCGGAUGUGAAAUCMCYGGGCUCAACGUGGSAGUUGCAUUCGAAACUGGCAGGCWAGAGUYUWGUAGAGGGGAGGYAGACUUCCAGGUGUAGCGGUGAAAUGCGUAGUGAUCUGGAGGAAUACCGGUGGCGAAGGCGGCCCCCUGGACAAAGACWGACGYUCAGGUGYGARAGUGUGGGGAGCAAACAGGAUUAGAUACCSUGGUAGUCCAUGCUGUAAAUGAUGUCGAMUUGGAGGUUGUCCCCUKGAGGUGUGGCUUCCGGAGCUAACGUGUUAAGUCCCCCUCYUGGGGAGUACGGCCGCAAGGUUAAAACUCAAAUGAAUUGACGGGGGCCCGCACAAGCGGUGGAGCAUGUGGUUUAAUUMGUUGCAACGMGAAGAACCUUACCUACUCUUGACAUCCAGAGAACUUAGCAGAGAUGCUUUGGUGCCUUCGGGAACUCUGAGACAGGUGCUGCAUGGCUGUCGUCAGCUUUUGUUGUGAAAUGUUGGGUUAAGUCCCGCAACGAGCGCAACCMUUAUCSUUUGUUGCCAGCGUUCSGGUCGGGAACUCAAAGGAGACUGCCAGUGAUAAACUGGAGGAAGGUGGGGAKGACGUCAAGUCAUCAUGGCCCUUAYGAGUAGGGCUACACACGUGCUACAAUGGCAUAUACAAAGAGAAGCGACCUCGCGAGAGCAAGCGGACCUCAUAAAGUAUGUYGUAGUCCGGAUUGGAGUMUGCAACUCGACUCCAUGAAGUSGGAAUCGCUAGUAAUMGUAGAUCAGAAYGCUACGGUGAAUACGUUCCCGGGCCUUGUACACACCGCCCGUCACACCAUGGGAGUGGGUUGCUGAAAGAACUAGGUAGCUAACAGUCGYRAGAGAGCARCCGURGACGUGMAG